GUUAAUAUUCCCGUACUUCUUACAAUUGCGAUGGGGGGACGGAGAAGGCUAGGUGGGCCUGGCGACGGUUGUCCAGGUUCAAGUGCGUAGGCUUAAGAGUUAGGUAAAUCCGGCUCUUUUUAAGGCGAGACACGACGUCGAGCACCUACGGGUGUGAAGUCAUUGAUGCCAUGCUUCCAGGAAAAAGCCUCUAAGCUUCAGUUGUAAGGAAUCGUACCCCCAAACGACACAGGUGGUCGGGUAGAGAAUACCA
RNAcentral lists this ribosomal RNA (253 nucleotides) under Vibrio parahaemolyticus. Its description in RNAcentral is "partial 23S ribosomal RNA". It matches the Rfam family "Bacterial large subunit ribosomal RNA", at positions 1429 to 1683 of the family's 2925-position model. Lineage: Bacteria; Pseudomonadati; Pseudomonadota; Gammaproteobacteria; Vibrionales; Vibrionaceae. The record is from RNAcentral.